UUUCCUACAAAUUAUUCCAGCAGUGACUUGGACAACCUCUGCAGAUAGAAGCGAUCUCCAAAAUCCACUGCUGCUUCUCCUGGAAUAGAGCUGUUUCUGGACUUCUCACACUACUGCGAAACUAGACAGUGACAACAGUUGCAUGACUUCAUCGGCUCUGCUGCAUUUGAUCGAUUAAGGCAAAAAAAUUAUCCUUCCUGGUGGUGCUAGACUGAAGUUCAUUCACUGUUCUCUGCACAGCUGCUGAAAUCGCUGCUCUACAGGUGUCUGCCUUUGCAUAAAGUGACAUAGAAGUAUCAUUGGUCAAGGCAAUGGCUUUCAGUGUUUCUGCUUUGAAAGAAAAUGAUGGAAGUGGCAGCUGGAUCUACAGAUCAUCGCUCUCUACCAAGCCAGAUGGCAUUGUCAGAUGGACUGGAUUUGCUUCAGGCUGGAAAGCUGCUUUGAUGUCUAGUCCUUGGUCACAAAGUGCAGCAUACCGACUGGCUGAGGGCCGCACCUUCUUUGGCUUGGUUGUUUGAGGUGGUUGUUGCCACUGAGCUAUAGAUUAGAAAGGAAAGAAAAUACGUUAGCCAUCUCAUGCUGUGCAACAAAGCAUGCCAGAUGCACAGGCAACCCUUUGUAAAGGAGAGGCAAAUUUCUGAGCAGAAGAAAACCAUUAUAUCAAAGUCCAUUCUGCACAGCUUUCCUUCUUGAACAGUCAGGUCUCCAGGAGCCUGCAGAAAAUGAGGCCGGAAGAAUCGUUCCUGAAUUGGUUCAUUUUCAUCACCACUGUCCCUUGAUCGAGAUCGUGGUCUUAAAAUAACAUGAAAUAAAGCUUGAAUGGUUUCCAUGCUGGACUGAACUACCUGUAGUAACAUCCUGCUGUAGUGAAGACAAGCUAUUCAAACAUCCUCCAAGGAUAAUUUAUUUGAAGCUCUGGCUGCAGUGCACUGCAAGACACCUUAGUGUCUUAAUGCUACAAUGUUGAGCAUCACAAGUUCCAAGGGAUUGAGACUAAGCUUUACACAGGAUCCUGGAAACAACUGCCCUCACUACUACUGUCCAAUUAUCUGCAUACAGCAGUCCUACAGCACAUACAGGUACUGCUACUUGCUACAAGUUGUUGCACACUGUCUGUGUAAUCACAGCGAUUCUGUAUGUUCCAGCUGGAACCUACUGAGACUCUGGCCGUUGUGACUGCAAAGCAGAACAGGUGCCUCAUCACAGUCAGAUCCAGACCUAGAGUGCUCAUACUGCCUGCCUUGAAGGCUCUUCUGUUUGGGUGUUGCUCAGUUCACACAUUCUGGAAUAAUUUCUGCAUAUCUCAAUACAUGAAGGCAUCACAAAUGGAAACACAAAAGGACAGUGAAGAAUCUGGACAGCUACGAGCAAGCAAGAAGCCAAAGCUUUGCAAUAGUCAUGGGAUGAAUGAGAAGGAAGCAAUGAGUGGGAAGUAAGAAAUGAGAAAAUGUCCUAUUAGAAAUUAAGGGAAUUCCAGUCUGAGGACUGUGAGUGCAUAGUGCAGAAACAUGGAGAGAAUGGGAUAAAAAGGAAAAGAAGUUGAAAAUAAGGACUUGACUUCAAGCCCAUGCCACUAGCUCAUGGAAAGACCUCAGUUAAGGGAGGUAACCUGUAACUAAAGACCUAAAACAGGCUAUGUUUUGUGUUUGUCUAGGCCCAGGAUCAGUUUGCUCUGGAUUAAGUUAUAUGGCAAGUUUUACUGCAACCCCCAGAGGUGUGUUAGAGCCUUAAUUCCAGAUUGCUGUGCUUGACAUCACAGGCAGUGGUGCCUGUGCUGUUAACAACCACGGAUGAUUUCCAAGGUGUGUCAACACCUCAUUUUACUUACAUAUAUCCUGUGAUAUUAGUCCAGAUCGUGAGAUGGCAUUAGCUGGCAAAGCUUUAAUAGACUUCGCUUUACUGAAAUCAGUUUCUAUCAGCUGAGAAUAAGUCUUUUUGCUCUGUAGUUUGGUGGUUCCAAUAGCAAUGGACAAAACACAGCAACAGCCUAUUAAAUAUCUACCAGUCCAUCAAAGUCCUGAUGUAGGCUCCCUUCUAUUUAGGUAUUUUGCUUUUCUUAAGGAAAGGUUGCCAAAUUUGCCUGAGUUUGCGAUAGCUUUGAGAUGUGGACAACUUUCCAUUAGAACUAAGAAAGCUAUGCCAAAAUUAUUUCCACUCAGGAUGACUUAUAAGAAUUGGAAUCCAGAUAUUUGAGUGUGAAAGGCCAGUAGAUUAACUCCUAGGCUUUCUUUGCCUCCAUUGUACUGUUAAAUGCAUAGUAAAACCUAGCAAACAGUGGAAGAGAUAAGUAUGUUUGCUUGGCAAUUACACUGUGAGGGAGAACAGAAUGGGCUUGCUGAAACAGAUGUUUUGUUUAGGGGAGCCAGAGAAAGAUGCUUCUGGCUCUUUUCCAAAGAGGGGAAGAAAGUUACAGAUGCAGAAUUUUAUCAUUUAACAAAACCAGUUUUUCAAUCCCCAAGUUAGCAAUAACUAAAAUACAAAACCAACUCAUUUAGUCCAUCUGAAAAUCCACUAUCAAUCUGUCCACUGCAUGUUGUUGAAUGCACUGUGUACUCUAUGCAACAACAAAACACUUAGAGGAAGAUGAGCAGGAAGCACUUCCUUCUUUGAGCAUGUAGAUAUCUAUUUAUCAUUUUAUCAUUUUAAAAGCUGCUGUGAGUUUCCACAAUUUAAAUCAAACCAAGUGUUAUAAUACAAUAGUCAUCUAUGUGUAAAAGCUCCCAGCUUGAAGAAUUCCCUUGGCCUUAUUUCUUUCUUUUAUUUGCAUGUGUAGAAAUAAUCUUUAAACUACCUAAACGCUCCAGUUUGUUGAGUCUAGCCCCAAACUCCUGCAUCUGUGUGUACAAUCCCACAUAUUCACAAGCACACUGCAAUAUGAGCAGGAUUGACAGUUAAAGAGCAAGGCAAAAAUGGCAGUGUCAUGCUAGGUAACCUAGCAACAUCCAUAACAGAGCACAACACUCCUGUUUAGAUUAAACUGUCUCAGUGAUACAGUUUGUUCUUUUACAGUGAGAUUCUACUUGCAGACCUGGUCUUGGCAAAAUAUUUAGUUCUACAGAAGAAAAUAAUUUCAUUACAUCCCUGUGUUACUGCCUUGGUUUCUCGUGGGCAAACCUUUCUCCUCAGUUUACCGUGCUGCAGGAAAAAUGGGUUGAAAAAGUUACUUCCAUAGCAUGUGUAAGCUGCAAGUUCAGCUAUGUCCAAUGCACAAAGUGGGUUUCUGCUGUAUACCUCAGCUCUUGUAACGGGUUUGUGAAGAACAUAAUAUUACAAACCUAGCAACACCCUGUGUUUCAGAAAAAAUUAUCAGCAAGCCUCCAAGACAACACAGAACUCCUUCCGGCUACAUAAUAAGUGUGAGAAUUUUUUGCCUUGCAGAAUUACAACUGCUGCCUAAUGUAAACAUGUUGAGGAGCGAUGUACUCCCAGUGAUUGCAAAACGUUGGCCUCAGUCAGUGAGCAGUGUUAACAGAAGAAAAAUGAAAUUACUGGAUUGGGUUAUUCCUGCCCACAAACUGCAUUUUUUUUCCUUUAUAGUAUGUGUGCUAUCCACGCUCAGUUAGGAUACCAAGAUGCUAUCAGCUGAAACAAACGGUGGAAGAAUGCUUUAAAAACAACACCCCCUCCUCUCUGAAACUUCAAACCAUAGGAAAAAAAAUGCUGCUGAGUUGCUAAUCUCGUGGAGAUAGAAAGGUCCCACCCUACUGAUGCAAGUUGAAAACAGAAAUCUAAUUUAAAUACUUUAUGAUGACUUCAUCACUUAAUUAAAUCAUGAAAACGUAAGAUGAGAUAGUUUUCUGAAGAUUUAUGUCCAGAAGCAUGUUUGCUCUGGAGCCAAACCUUCAUUUACCUGUGGGUUAGCAGCCAUAAUAGUGUAGUUCCCAUCAUCAUCCAGGGUGGAGGCUGGAGUAUGCAACAAGCAAGUUCCAUCAGGUUCUCUUUGCAUUCGGUAGUGAUCACUUCGUUUAGAAAUUUGCUUCCCAUCUUUAAACCAGUAAAUCUGCAGGAAAUAGAGGAGGCAUGAGUCACUGUCAUCAUUUAUCAAUUAAUAGUGCUAAUGAACCUUACCUGCUGCAAACUUUGAGUAAGCAUUAUAACUAAUUUGAUCAACUAGUGAAAGUGCAGAACCCCAUUCCACAAACCACUAAGCCAAGUUACAGAUCAGCAGUUGUUUACAGAGGAAGGAUGGCAGCAUGACCAUUUACCAAAGGAACUUACACAAGCACAAAAGCUGUGCUCUUCCCAAGGACAGAACAGCAGAUGAAUGUACCAAGAACUGAAAAUAAAUGGAACUAUGAGGAAAAGUUCUGUUUCA
Molecule: long non-coding RNA, 4315 nt
Organism: Pogoniulus pusillus (Red-fronted tinkerbird)
Lineage: Eukaryota; Metazoa; Chordata; Aves; Piciformes; Lybiidae
Exons: 7
Source: RefSeq, a predicted model, not a curated record